UACGAAGGGGGCUAGCGUUGCUCGGAAUCACUGGGCGUAAAGCGCACGUAGGCGGCUUGUUAAGUCAGGGGUGAAAUCCUGGAGCUCAACUCCAGAACUGCCUUUGAUACUGGCGAGCUUGAGUUCGGGAGAGGUGAGUGGAACUGCGAGUGUAGAGGUGAAAUUCGUAGAUAUUCGCAAGAACACCAGUGGCGAAGGCGGCUGACUGGUCCGGUUCUGACGCUGAGGCGCGAAAGCGUGGGGAGCAAACAGG
This 253-nucleotide ribosomal RNA is filed under the name uncultured bacterium. Its description in RNAcentral is "partial 16S ribosomal RNA". It matches the Rfam family "Bacterial small subunit ribosomal RNA", at positions 524 to 776 of the family's 1533-position model. The record is from RNAcentral.